This 253-nucleotide ribosomal RNA is filed under the name uncultured bacterium. Its description in RNAcentral is "partial 16S ribosomal RNA". It matches the Rfam family "Bacterial small subunit ribosomal RNA", at positions 524 to 776 of the family's 1533-position model. The record is from RNAcentral.
UACGGAGGGUGCAAGCGUUAUCCGGAUUCACUGGGUUUAAAGGGUGCGUAGGUGGGCUGGUAAGUCAGUGGUGAAAGACGGUAGCUCAACUAUCGCAGUGCCCUUGAUACUGAUGGGCUUGAAUGGACUAGAGGUAGGCGGAAUGAGACAAGUAGCGGUGAAAUGCAUAGAUAUGUCUCAGAACACCGAUUGCGAAGGCAGCUUACUAUGGUCUUAUUGACGCCGAGGCACGAAAGCGUGGGGAUCAAACAGG